This 259-nucleotide long non-coding RNA is filed under the name Malus domestica (apple). RNAcentral describes it as "long non-coding RNA (MDOM_LNC016600)". Lineage: Eukaryota; Viridiplantae; Streptophyta; Magnoliopsida; Rosales; Rosaceae. The record is from RNAcentral.
UCCUGUAAAUAAUCCAAAUAAAAACAAAAAUAAUAUUGCCAUCAUUCCCAUCUUCAUUGGUAGAAAAACUUAUGACACGAAGUAGGUAAGAAAAAAUGAAAAUCUUGCAAGCAAAAUAAGAUUAUGAACUUCAGUAACAUGCAUAUACGCAUAAAAGAUAAACCACACUUGAAACGCCCUAAAGGAGACAUGCAUAUAAGCAUGCCGCCAUUAGUUAUACAUACAACAAAAAAUGAACGACUAUCAAAGAAGAUAAAGA